CCUACGGGAGACAGCAGUGAGGAAUAUUGGUCAAUGGGCGCGAGUCUGAACCAGCCAAGUAGCGUGAAGGAUGACUGCCCUACGGGUUGUAAACUUCUUUUAUAAAGGAAUAAAGCGAGGCACGUGGGCCUUUUUGCAUGUACGUUAUGAAUAAGGAUCGGCUAACUCCGUGCCAGCAGCCGCGGUAAUACGGAGGAUCCGAGCGUUAUCCGGAUUUAUUGGGUUUAAAGGGAGCGUAGGUGGGUUGUUAAGUCAGUUGUGAAGGUUUGCGGCUCAACCGUAAAAUUGCAAUUGAUACUGGCAGCCUUGAGUACAGUUGAGGUAGGCGGCAUUCGUGGUGUAGCGG
RNAcentral lists this ribosomal RNA (346 nucleotides) under uncultured bacterium. Its description in RNAcentral is "partial 16S ribosomal RNA". It matches the Rfam family "Bacterial small subunit ribosomal RNA", at positions 338 to 681 of the family's 1533-position model. The record is from RNAcentral.